CCUACGUGCGGCAGCAGUGAGGAAUAUUGGUCAAUGGGCGCGAGCCUGAACCAGCCAAGUAGCGUGAAGGAUGACUGCCCUACGGGUUGUAAACUUCUUUUAUAAAGGAAUAAAGUGAGGCACGUGUGCCUUUUUGUAUGUACUUUAUGAAUAAGGAUCGGCUAACUCCGUGCCAGCAGCCGCGGUAAUACGGAGGAUCCUAGCGUUAUCCGGAUUUAUUGGGUUUAAAGGGAGCGUAGAUGGGUUGUUAAGUCAGUUGUGAAAGUUUGCGGCUCAACCGUAAAAUUGCAAUUGAUACUGGCAGUCUUGAGUACAGUAGAGGUAGGCGGAAUGCGUGGUGUAGCGGUGAAAUGCUUAGAUAUCACGAAGAACUCCGAUUGCGAAGGCAGCUUACUAAACUGCCACUGACAUUGAUGCUCGAAAGUGUGGGUAUCAAACAGGAUUAGAUACCCCUGUAGUC
Molecule: ribosomal RNA, 460 nt
Filed under: uncultured bacterium
Lineage: Bacteria
Description: partial 16S ribosomal RNA
Rfam family: Bacterial small subunit ribosomal RNA
Source: RNAcentral